This 468-nucleotide ribosomal RNA is filed under the name uncultured bacterium. RNAcentral's name for it is "partial 16S ribosomal RNA". It matches the Rfam family "Bacterial small subunit ribosomal RNA", at positions 28 to 507 of the family's 1533-position model. The record is from RNAcentral.
GACGAACGCUGGCGGCGUGCUUAACACAUGCAAGUCGAACGGAAAGGCCCUGCUUUUGUGGGGUGCUCGAGUGGCGAACGGGUGAGUAACACGUGAGUAACCUGCCCUUGACUUUGGGAUAACUUCAGGAAACUGGGGCUAAUACCGGAUAGGAGCUCCUGCUGCAUGGUGGGGGUUGGAAAGUUUCGGCGGUUGGGGAUGGACUCGCGGCUUAUCAGCUUGUUGGUGGGGUAGUGGCUUACCAAGGCUUUGACGGGUAGCCGGCCUGAGAGGGUGACCGGCCACAUUGGGACUGAGAUACGGCCCAGACUCCUACGGGAGGCAGCAGUGGGGAAUAUUGCACAAUGGGCGGAAGCCUGAUGCAGCAACGCCGCGUGCGGGAUGACGGCCGUAGGGUUGUAAACCGCUUUCGCCUGUGACGAAGCGUGAGUGACGGUAAUGGGUAAAGAAGCACCGGCUAACUACGUG